This 492-nucleotide ribosomal RNA is filed under the name uncultured bacterium. RNAcentral's name for it is "partial 16S ribosomal RNA". It matches the Rfam family "Bacterial small subunit ribosomal RNA", at positions 29 to 507 of the family's 1533-position model. The record is from RNAcentral.
AGUGAACGCUGGCGGUAGGCCUAACACAUGCAAGUCGAACGGCAGCACAGUAAGAGCUUGCUCUUACGGGUGGCGAGUGGCGGACGGGUGAGGAAUACAUCGGAAUCUACUUUUUCGUGGGGGAUAACGUAGGGAAACUUACGCUAAUACCGCAUACGACCUACGGGUGAAAGCAGGGGAUCUUCGGACCUUGCGCGAUUGAAUGAGCCGAUGUCGGAUUAGCUAGUUGGCGGGGUAAAGGCCCACCAAGGCGACGAUCCGUAGCUGGUCUGAGAGGAUGAUCAGCCACACUGGAUCUGAGACACGGUCCAGACUCCUACGGGAGGCAGCAGUGGGGAAUAUUGGACAAUGGGCGCAAGCCUGAUCCAGCCAUACCGCGUGGGUGAAGGAGGCCUUCGGGUUGUAAAGCCCUUUUGUUGGGAAAGAAAAGCAGCAGGUUAAUACCCCGCUGUUCUGACGGUACCCAAAGAAUAAGCACCGGCUAACUUCGUG